This 487-nucleotide ribosomal RNA is filed under the name uncultured bacterium. RNAcentral's name for it is "partial 16S ribosomal RNA". It matches the Rfam family "Bacterial small subunit ribosomal RNA", at positions 899 to 1397 of the family's 1533-position model. The record is from RNAcentral.
ACUCAAAUGAAUUGACGGGGGCCCGCACAAGCGGCGGAGCGUGCGGUUUAAUUCGACGCAACGCGCAGAACCUUACCAGGGCUUGACAUGCCCCUGCGCAUCCCGGGAAACCGGGACCUCUUCGAGAGGGGGGCACAGGUGCUGCAUGGCUGUCGUCAGCUCGUGUCGUGAGAUGUUGGGUUAAGUCCCGCAACGAGCGCAACCCUCGUGGGUGGUUGCCGGAGGUUUCGACCCAGACUGCCGGUAGCAAGCCGGAGGAAGGUGGGGAUGACGUCAAGUCAGCAUGGCCCUUACGCCCUGGGCCACACGCACGCUACAAUGGCCGGGACAGUGGGCUGCCAAACCGCAAGGUGGAGCGAAUCCCCCAAACCCGGUCUCAGUUCAGAUCGGGGGCUGCAACCCGCCCCCGUGAAGGUGGAGUCGCUAGUAACCGCGGGUCAGCACUACCGCGGUGAAUACGUUCCCGGGCCUUGUACACACCGCCCGU